This 440-nucleotide ribosomal RNA is filed under the name uncultured bacterium. RNAcentral describes it as "bacterial SSU rRNA". It matches the Rfam family "Bacterial small subunit ribosomal RNA", at positions 58 to 507 of the family's 1533-position model. The record is from RNAcentral.
CAAGUCGAACGGAGUCAAGAGGAGCUUGCUUUCUUGACUUAGUGGCAACGGGUGAGUAACGCGUGAGUAACCUGCCCUGGAGUGGGGGACAACAGUUGGAAACGACUGCUAAUACCGCAUAAGCCCACGGAUCCGCAUGGAUCUGCGGGAAAAGGAUUUAUUCGGCUUCAGGAUGGACUCGCGUCCAAUUAGCUAGUUGGUGGGGUAACGGCCUACCAAGUCGACGAUCAGUAGCCGGACUGAGAGGUUGAACGGCCACAUUGGGACUGAGAUACGGCCCAGACUCCUACGGGAGGCAGCAGUGGGGAAUAUUGCACAAUGGGGGAAACCCUGAUGCAGCAACGCCGCGUGAAGGAUGACGGUUUUCGGAUUGUAAACUUCUUUUCUUAGUGACGAAGACAGUGACGGUAGCUAAGGAAUAAGCAUCGGCUAACUACGUG